AUAUGUCACGCAUGUGAUUGGAUGCAUCGAAAGUGAACGCUAAACCAACCAUUCUCCUUAUAUUUGCGGCACUAUAGCUCACCAUUAUCCAACCGGUGAAGGUGUCUCUAAGCCCCAUGGAGCACUCCACUCCCAAGAUCCUCCUCUCCCUCUCAUUGAUUGCUCUCCUCUUCUCGGCUUUCGUCGUUUCUCCAUCUCACUCAAGGAAGAUCUCAGGCUGCAGUCACCCAACCACAGGUAUAUAUAUAUAUAUAUCUAUUCAUCCUCUUAAUUCGUCUAGUUACUGCCUUCAACAAAGGUUUUCCUUUCUGAUGGGAAGAAAUUAUAGCAUGAAAUAUAUGGGGUGAUUGUUUCAUAUAGGUGGAGAUGUUGCAGUGAGCUCACGAGGGCUUGCGAGGAUGGCCAGGGAGGCCGCGUUAGCGCCACCUUCGCCUACUGCCAAUAACAGGGACCCUGGUUCUGGUUGAGGCAUGGAGCUUCUUCCUCAUGGAUUUGCGUGUCCUUUGGGAGUAUCUACCUCAUGGUUUCACCUAUUGUCACUAUAUUACCUCUAGUCUGUGUCUCUUCUAAGUAUGGAAGCUUGAAGUUGGAGGAUUUGUCUAAUAAAAGGAUAUUAAUUUGGGGUGUAAUUAUUGUUGUGAAUUUGAUGGUCUUACUGAGUAGCUGUGACCUAUAUUUAUGAAAUAGAUGAACGGAGAAAUAUGUAUGUCAUAAAAUAAAAGUAAUUUUUCUCUCUCUUUC
This 741-nucleotide long non-coding RNA is filed under the name Elaeis guineensis (African oil palm). RNAcentral's name for it is "long non-coding RNA (EGUI_LNC015327)". The record is from RNAcentral. Lineage: Eukaryota; Viridiplantae; Streptophyta; Magnoliopsida; Arecales; Arecaceae.